ACUCCGUUGGUGAACCAGCGGAGGGAUCAUUACCGAAGUUACCCUUCAAAACCCAUUGUGAACCAUACCUCUUGCCGCGUUGUCUCGGCGGGAGGCGCUGGGGCCUCGGCUCCGCGUCCCCGCCGGCAGCGCCAAACUCUAAACUGCAAAGCGUACUGCAUGUUCUGAUUUACAAAAAAAACAUGUUAAAACUUUCAACAACGGAUCUCUUGGUUCUG
This 218-nucleotide unclassified non-coding RNA is filed under the name plant metagenome. Its description in RNAcentral is "partial contains small subunit ribosomal RNA, internal transcribed spacer 1, and 5.8S ribosomal RNA". The record is from RNAcentral.